UACGUAGGGUGCAAGCGUUGUCCGGAAUUAUUGGGCGUAAAGGGCUCGUAGGCGGUUUGUCGCGUCGGGAGUGAAAACUCAGGGCUUAACCCUGAGCCUGCUUCCGAUACGGGCAGACUAGAGGUAUGCAGGGGAGAAUGGAAUUCCUGGUGUAGCAGUGAAAUGCGUAGAUAUCAGGAGGAACACCGGUGGCGAAGGCGGAUCUCUGGGCCGUAACUGACGCUGAGGAGCGAAGGCAUGGGGAGCGAACAGG
RNAcentral lists this ribosomal RNA (253 nucleotides) under uncultured bacterium. RNAcentral describes it as "partial 16S ribosomal RNA". It matches the Rfam family "Bacterial small subunit ribosomal RNA", at positions 524 to 776 of the family's 1533-position model. The record is from RNAcentral.